This 573-nucleotide ribosomal RNA is filed under the name uncultured Flavobacteriia bacterium. RNAcentral's name for it is "bacterial SSU rRNA". It matches the Rfam family "Bacterial small subunit ribosomal RNA", at positions 8 to 570 of the family's 1533-position model. The record is from RNAcentral. Lineage: Bacteria; Pseudomonadati; Bacteroidota; Flavobacteriia.
AGGGUUUGAUCAUGGCUCAGGAUGAACGCUAGCGGCAGGCCUAACACAUGCAAGUCGAGGGGCAGCAUAGAAUUAGUUUACUAAUUUGGUGGCGACCGGCGCACGGGUGCGUAACGCGUAUGCAACCUACCUUGUACUGGGGUAUAGCCCGGAGAAAUUCGGAUUAAUCCCCCAUAGUAUUAAUAAGCCGCAUGGUUUACUAAUUAAAGGUUACGGUACAAGAUGGGCAUGCGUCCUAUUAGCUAGAUGGUGAGGUAACGGCUCACCAUGGCUACGAUAGGUAGGGGGCCUGAGAGGGUGGUCCCCCACACUGGUACUGAGACACGGACCAGACUCCUACGGGAGGCAGCAGUGAGGAAUAUUGGUCAAUGGGCGCAAGCCUGAACCAGCCAUGCCGCGUGCAGGAAGAAUGCCCUAUGGGUUGUAAACUGCUUUUAUUUAGGAAUAAACUUUCUGGUCGUGCACCGGAGCUGAAGGUACCAAAUGAAUAAGCACCGGCUAACUCCGUGCCAGCAGCCGCGGUAAUACGGAGGGUGCAAGCGUUAUCCGGAAUCCUUGGGUUUUAAAGGGUCC